AAAAUGCCCAAACCUCACCCACUGUAACAUAGUUAAUGUUGUAUAGAAUUCCACUUGUCAUUACUUCCAAGUUUGGGUUCAUGUGUAAUGGGUGAAACAGCACCCCCUCCUGGUGGUUGGCAGUGUUAAAUUUACUGAACACAGAUAUCUCGUUGCCAGUUUAUGAGAGAUGAGCGCGAGGUAGGUUCACUGAGUUUAACACUCUGGUAAAAUGUUAUGUUAGCUUGAUGCUAACAUGAAAUGCUAUUCCUCGUAAGGUGCUGUACCCGCUGUGAUGAACCUGAUUCCUGAUCAGUCGUUAUUCUGUUCCAUACAGGUACAUAUUGUUUUAUUUCUUUGUAUUUCUGUCUAAUAUUAAUGUAUUAAAUACGGCCGUUGGCCAGUUUAUGAGAGAUGAGCGCGAGGUGCUGUACCCGCUGUGAUGAACCUGAUUCCUGAUCAGUCGUUAUUCUGUUCCAUACAGAUAAAAAUCAUUUCAUCUCA
Xiphophorus hellerii (green swordtail) is the source of this 483-nucleotide long non-coding RNA. RefSeq lists it as uncharacterized. The record is from RefSeq and is a predicted model, not a curated record. NCBI's taxonomy places the organism in Eukaryota, Metazoa, Chordata, Actinopteri, Cyprinodontiformes, Poeciliidae. The transcript has 4 exons.